This 212-nucleotide ribosomal RNA is filed under the name uncultured Anaerolineaceae bacterium. RNAcentral describes it as "partial 16S ribosomal RNA". It matches the Rfam family "Bacterial small subunit ribosomal RNA", at positions 1174 to 1382 of the family's 1533-position model. Lineage: Bacteria; Bacillati; Chloroflexota; Anaerolineae; Anaerolineales; Anaerolineaceae. The record is from RNAcentral.
GUGGGAUGACGUCAAGUCAGCAUGGCCUUUAUAUCCUGGGCUACACACACGCUACAAUGGGAAGGGACAAUAGGUUGCGAAGCCGCGAGGCGGAGCCAAUCCAGCAAAACUUCCCUCAGUUCAGAUUGCAGGCUGCAACCCGCCUGCAUGAAGUUGGAGUUGCUAGUAAACGCAGGUCAGCCAUACUGCGUUGAAUACGUUCCCGGGGCCUU